AGCGGGAAUAGCUCAGUGGUAGAGCGCAACCUUGCCAAGGUUGGGGUCGCGAGUUCGAGCCUCGUUUCCCGCUCCAC
RNAcentral lists this transfer RNA (77 nucleotides) under Francisella tularensis subsp. holarctica OSU18. Its description in RNAcentral is "tRNA-Gly". It matches the Rfam family "tRNA". Rfam says of the family: Transfer RNA (tRNA) molecules are approximately 80 nucleotides in length. Lineage: Bacteria; Pseudomonadati; Pseudomonadota; Gammaproteobacteria; Thiotrichales; Francisellaceae. The record is from RNAcentral.